RNAcentral lists this transfer RNA (69 nucleotides) under Felis catus (domestic cat). It matches the Rfam family "tRNA". Rfam says of the family: Transfer RNA (tRNA) molecules are approximately 80 nucleotides in length. Their secondary structure includes four short double-helical elements and three loops (D, anti-codon, and T loops). The record is from Rfam by way of RNAcentral. Lineage: Eukaryota; Metazoa; Chordata; Mammalia; Carnivora; Felidae.
ACCUAGCUGGCUCAGUAGAGUAUGAGACUCCUGAUCUCGGGGUUGUGAGUUCAAGCCCCAUGCUGAGUG